UAGCUUUACAAAAUAUUAUAAAACCAUCAAAGAGAAAUCACAACCAAAAUAACAUGAGAACUAGUCUCUCAUUCUAUCAAAAUAUUAGACUACAAUAACAUGUUUUGAGAAUAAAUCUCUCUACCAAGAAAUUCAUGCAAACUAAGGUACAAACAAUUAGAUUCACUUAGCUAGCUUAUCUAAGGGAGGAUCAUAAAUGGAAGCAAUGGGAUUAAGCAAUAUAAGUAAAUAGUAGCAAGUAAGAAGGAAGUUGACAAAAGUCUGGGAGACAAGCUCCUCAGUUGUGACCGUUAUCUUUCAGCUAUAAAUGAAACUUCUGCCAUAAAUUUCUAUAGAAUUAGGCAUUAGAAAGAUUGUAAGAUUCAUUUGAAAUAUAAAUAGCAUCAAGGUAAAAAUGAACAAUAUUCUAGAAAUCUUUUUAUUGACAUCCAAUGUGAGUUGAUGGCAAUGGACAAUGAACUGCAACAGCAUAAUCAGAGAGGAUAUAUUUCCACCGCGUAACAGACUAAAAAUCACACUAAUUAUAUUGAAGGUAUGACAUGUCUGCACAUGUAUGCGUUGUGUCCUUGAUCCAGAAAAUAAGCAUAUUUCUGUGAAUUGUCCUUCGCCUUAUCAUACAAAUUGAGAACUGAGGCCUAGAGAUGCAAGUUUAACCAAAAUUUAGCAACAACCUCAUUGACAAUAUUUGACGAUAAAUGCCUUAGCAAUUCAUCAACAUUUGGUACAAAACUUUUUAUAUAAACCUAUACACAAUUACAUUAGGGGUUAUAAUUUUCCACACUACUAUUUGAGAGGGCCAAGAGAUAGUGGCAUUAAAUAAUAUGGUAGAACAGAAAGUGUUAAAGCAACCCCUUAAGUUGACUUGACGAUCUCAAGUUUCCUAUCAUUGUUUUUUCCCAUGGUGCUUAUUCAACAGUCAACACCAAUUUUCAACUCGAGAAUAUACAGAGCAAAUUGAUUUCAUCCUCUGAACAGCUAGACCUUUUCCUCUUUGGUUUUCAUUACAAGGAACUGUAGCCGUGGAUACUGCUUGUUUGAAUGAACGGUUUAACCUUGAUUACACAAAUAUAUAUUUUUGCCUUCUGUGCUUGGUUGCUUGUGCUAGGAGUAAUAUAUUCUCUCUUUUCUUUCCUUGCUAGGAAAAUCAUACAUACAGUCACAUUUUUUUUAAGAUAACUUCUAAUGGGCUAUAUUUUCUCUAGCAUUCACUUCAGUACAGCAAGUAUUCAAAUUGAAACACUAGCAUUUUGGACAAGUUGACUUCACAGAAAAUAAGCAAGCCUCCAUAGGAAAGUAAAAAAUAUGAAAUUUCUCGAGGUAGUGUUUUGCAGGCUCUUAUGAAAUGCAAAUCCCAAGCAGAAAUUUAUUCGGCACUGUGACAAUUUUACUAUUGAACAGAUCAUCUACAUAGAAAGAGGCGGGAGAAAUUUUGAAAGGAAAAGAGGGGAUACAAAGUUUGUAGUCUGGGUCAGGACAGCACACUACAAGCUCUAACUUUCAUGAACCCGAAUUUUGUAGCCUUUUCUUGUAAUUCUUUCUUUUUUGAGGUUCCUUUCAGAACAAUCUGUAUUUCGCUAGAGUCAUCUCUUUGUACUCUCACUCAUUUCAGUGCGAGCAGAUUCUCACCACAUUUAUGAAAGCUGGUUCCACCCCCUGUAGCCUUUUCUUGUAAUUCUUUCUUUUUUGAGGUUCCUUUCAGAACAAUCUGUAUUUCGCUAGAGUCAUCUCUUUGUACUCUCACUCAUUUCAGUGCGAGCAGAUUCUCACCACAUUUAUGAAAGCUGGUUCCACCCCCCCCCCCCCCCCCCCUCUCUCUCUCUCUCUCUCACACACACACAAGAAAAAGUAGAACUAUUUAUUGAGCUUACCC
RNAcentral lists this long non-coding RNA (1870 nucleotides) under Cucumis sativus (cucumber). RNAcentral's name for it is "long non-coding RNA (CSAT_LNC003198)". Lineage: Eukaryota; Viridiplantae; Streptophyta; Magnoliopsida; Cucurbitales; Cucurbitaceae. The record is from RNAcentral.